GACGAACGCUGGCGGCGUGCUUAACACAUGCCAGUCGAACGGAAAGGCCCUGCUUGCAGGGUACUCGAGUGGCGAACGGGUGAGUAACACGUGGGUGAUCUGCCCUGCACUUCGGGAUAAGCCUGGGAAACUGGGUCUAAUACCGGAUAGGAGCCAUUUUUAGUGUGAUGGUUGGAAAGUUUUUUCGGUGUAGGAUGAGCUCGCGGCCUAUCAGCUUGUUGGUGGGGUAAUGGCCUACCAAGGCGGCGACGGGUAGCCGGCCUGAGAGGGUGGACGGCCACAUUGGGACUGAGAUACGGCACAGACUCCUACGGGAGGCAGCAGUGGGGAAUAUUGCACAAUGGGCGCAAGCCUGAUGCAGCGACGCCGCGUGGGGGAUGACGGCCUUCGGGUUGUAAACUCCUUUCGCUAGGGACGAAGCUUUUUGUGACGGUACCUAGAUAAGAAGCACCGGCUAACUACGUG
RNAcentral lists this ribosomal RNA (465 nucleotides) under uncultured bacterium. RNAcentral's name for it is "partial 16S ribosomal RNA". It matches the Rfam family "Bacterial small subunit ribosomal RNA", at positions 28 to 507 of the family's 1533-position model. The record is from RNAcentral.